AUGCUUCGAGAAGGCCACCUCGAUCACCCUCGAACUAGAGGGUCUUGCCUCACGAUGCCGCCUUCCGGCAUAUUCGCCCGGCUCACCAAUCUCCACCUAGGUUGCAUCCGGCUACGUGGUCCGAGCAUGCUCGGCGAGGCUGUCUCCUCGCCGCGCUGCCCGACGUUACAGAAACUGACUCUCAGUGGUACCUCGGGUCUGGGCAACUUGACCAUUCACUCGGAUUCUCUCUUGGAAAUGACACUGACGCGCGUGCACGGCUUGCAGCAGCUCAAUGUCACAGCGCCGGCACUCAAACAGUUAGAAGUGCUGUCCUGCUUUACUAAAGGUAGGAUGAUUUUGAUCCUACCGGUUGCAAACAUCUCCGCCCCUCAGCUGGAAUCCCUAAUGUGGUGGGAUGAUUAUGAUCCAAAGUUCACCCAGCUCAGCAAGAUGGAAAAUCUACAGUGCCUGAGCACCUUCCCUUUUACUGUAUAUGAAGAAACUGACUAUGUACGUGAGUUACAGAAUAGGUACUGUACGAGGCUUUUGCGGCGCUUUGAGCUCAUCCACAGUCUCAGAUUCCAACUUGUGAAUGAUCUGGAGGACAUUAUUACUAACCAACAGUACCUGAUGGAAGACAUUACCAGGCUCCCAGACAUUACAUUCAUGUUCCUGGAUAUAACGGGAAACGGGCAUUCCUUUGGACCCAGUUCAUUCCAUCUUCUCAGGAUGUGUACUGGUUUGAGAAAGUUGUCUCUUACAUUUUGUGGCACAACUAGACGCCCGGAGACCCUGUGCCCAUCAGGUUGUGUUUGUGAUCAGCCACCAAGCUGGAAAACCAAAGAACUCGCGCUGAAUUGCCUUCGAGAAGUAGAAGUCUGUAACUUGAUAGGAACUGAACAUGAAGCUGCUCUUGUAGAACGGUUAUUCGUUUGGGCAACAGUGCUACAAAAGAUGACAGUAACUUUCCAUUGCUCAGUCGCUGAAAGCAAGGCCAAGGAGUUCUGCCAGAUGCUUCAAAGUUUCUCUAGGCCAGAAAUAUCUAUGAAGGGGGCAACAUUUUGCCUAAUCUACUCAUACCAAAGUUUACCAUGGACCGAUCUUGUCGGAAACUCCAGGUGCACCGCAGGGCCUCCGAGAAUGCUUUGCAAGCUUGUUUCAUGUGCUGGUGCUGGUACCUGGUGGUCAUUUUGUACUUCUCAUCUCGGUAUAAAUUGCACUACUUGUGAACUCCAGUGUGUAAGUUACAGGAUAUUUCCUUCAGAGAUGUUGCAGGAUGUAUAA
This 1266-nucleotide ribosomal RNA is filed under the name Triticum aestivum (bread wheat). RNAcentral's name for it is "partial small subunit ribosomal RNA". The record is from RNAcentral. Lineage: Eukaryota; Viridiplantae; Streptophyta; Magnoliopsida; Poales; Poaceae.